Molecule: ribosomal RNA, 323 nt
Filed under: Cyrtognatha sp. 10 KC-2018
Lineage: Eukaryota; Metazoa; Arthropoda; Arachnida; Araneae; Tetragnathidae
Description: eukaryotic LSU rRNA
Rfam family: Eukaryotic large subunit ribosomal RNA
Source: RNAcentral
GGGCGUAUUGAAAGAGAGAAAGUAUUGAGUGUUGGGAUCCAAGACCCAAGUCAUGUUGGAUUGUUUGUGGCGCACCAACGACCCGUCACCGUCCGAACGUUUUGCGUUCGGUGUGGCGGAGUCCGAGCAUACACGUUGGGACCCGAAAGAUGGUGAACUAUGCCCGGGCAGGACGAGGCCAGAGGAAACUCUGGUGGAGGUCCGAAGCGGUUCUGACGUGCAAAUCGAUCGUCAGACCUGUGUAUAGGGGCGAAAGACCAAUCGAACCAUCUAGUAGCUGGUUCCCUCCGAAGUUUCCCUCAGGAUAGCUGGCGCUCGUUGGA